GGGGGAAAGCCUGAUCCAGCCAUGCCGCGUGUGUGAAGAAGGUCUUCGGAUUGUAAAGCACUUUAAGUUGGGAGGAAGGGCAGUAACCGAAUACCCCCGGGGUUUGAAGUUACCAA
This 116-nucleotide ribosomal RNA is filed under the name uncultured bacterium. Its description in RNAcentral is "partial 16S ribosomal RNA". The record is from RNAcentral.